GACGAACGCUGGCGGCGUGCUUAACACAUGCAAGUCGAACGGAAAGGCCCUGCUUUUGUGGGGUGCUCGAGUGGCGAACGGGUGAGUAACACGUGAGUAACCUGCCCUUGACUUUGGGAUAACUUCAGGAAACUGGGGCUAAUACCGGAUAGGAGCUCCUGCUGCAUGGUGGGGGUCGGAAAGUUUCGGCGGUUGGGGAUGGACUCGCGGCUUAUCAGCUUGUUGGUGGGGUAGUGGCUUACCAAGGCUUUGACGGGUAGCCGGCCUGAGAGGGUGACCGGCCACAUUGGGACUGAGAUACGGCCCAGACUCCUACGGGAGGCAGCAGUGGGGAAUAUUGCACAAUGGGCGGAAGCCUGAUGCAGCAACGCCGCGUGCGGGAUGACGGCCUUCGGGUUGUAAACCGCUUUCGCCUGUGACGAAGCGUGAGUGACGGUAAUGGGUAAAGAAGCACCGGCUAACUACGUGCCAGCAGCCGCGGUGAUACGUAGGGUGCGAGCGUUGUCCGGAUUUAUUGGGCGUAAAGGGCUCGUAGGUGGUUGAUCGCGUCGGAAGUGUAAUCUUGGGGCUUAACCCCUGAGCGUGCUUUCGAUACGGGUUGACUUGAGGAAGGUAGGGGAGAAUGGAAUUCCUGGUGGAGCGGUGGAAUGCGCAGAUAUCAGGAGGAACACCAGUGGCGAAGGCGGUUCUCUGGGCCUUUCCUGACGCUGAGGAGCGAAAGCGUGGGGAGCGAACAGGCUUAGAUACCCUGGUAGUCCACGCUGUAAACGGUGGGUACUAGGUGUGGGGUCCAUUCCACGGGUUCCGUGCCGUAGCUAACGCUUUAAGUACCCCGCCUGGGGAGUACGGUCGCAAGGCUAAAACUCAAAGGAAUUGACGGGGCCCCGCACAAGCGGCGGAGCAUGCGGAUUAAUUCGAUGCAACGCGUAGAACCUUACCUGGGUUUGACAUGGAUCGGGAGUGCUCAGAGAUGGGUGUGCCUCUUUUGGGGUCGGUUCACAGGUGGUGCAUGGCUGUCGUCAGCUAGUGUCGUGAGAUGUUGGGUUAAGUCCCGCAACGAGCGCAACCCUUGUUCACUGUUGCCAGCACGUUAUGGUGGGGACUCAGUGGAGACCGCCGGGGUCAACUCGGAGGAAGGUGGGGAUGACGUCAAGUCAUCAUGCCCCUUAUGUCCAGGGCUUCACGCAUGCUACAAUGGCUGGUACAGAGAGUGGCGAGCCUGUGAGGGUGAGCGAAUCUCGGAAAGCCGGUCUCAGUUCGGAUUGGGGUCUGCAACUCGACCUCAUGAAGUCGGAGUCGCUAGUAAUCGCAGAUCAGCAACGCUGCGGUGAAUACGUUCCCGGG
This 1344-nucleotide ribosomal RNA is filed under the name uncultured bacterium. RNAcentral's name for it is "16S ribosomal RNA". It matches the Rfam family "Bacterial small subunit ribosomal RNA", at positions 28 to 1378 of the family's 1533-position model. The record is from RNAcentral.